UCACCAGGUUGAUUCUGCCUGACGUAGACGCUAUUCCCUAAGAUUAACCCAUGCAUGUUUUUGAAGAUUAUUAUCUGAAAAAUGGACUGCUCAGUAAUACUCACUUUAUUUUAUGUGCACCGCAGAUAACUACGUUAAAGUGUAGAUAACAUGUGUACAGUAAGAGUGAGACCUAUCAGCUAGUUGUUARGGUAAUGGCUUAACAAGGCAGUGACGGGUAACGGUAUUACUUUGUAAUAUUCCGGAGAAGGAGCCUGAGAGACGGCUACUAAGUCUAAGGAUUGCAGCAGGGGCGAAACUUGACCUAUGGAUUUUAUCUGAGGCAGUUAUGGGAAGUAAUAUAUUAUUGUUUCAUAUUUUAAAAAUAUAUGAGGUGAUUAAUUGGAGGGCAAAUCAAGUGCCAGCAGCCGCGGUAAUACUUGUUCCAAGAGUGUGUAUGAUGAUUGAUGCAGUUAAAAAGUCCGUAGUUUAUUUUUAAGAAGCAAUAUGAGGUGUACUGUAUAGUUGGGAGAGAGAUGAAAUGUGACGACCCUGACUGGACGAACAGAAGCGAAAGCUGUACACUUGUAUGUAUUUUUUGAACAAGGACGUAAGCUGGAGGAUCGAAGAUGAUUAGAUACCAUUGUAGUUCCAGCAGUAAACUAUGCCGACGAUGUGAUAUGAGUAUUUGUAUUACAUAGUAGAAAUUAGAGUUUUUUGGCUCUGGGGAUAGUAUGAUCGCAAGAUUGAAAAUUAAAGAAAUUGACGGAAGAAUACCACAAGGAGUGGAUUGUGCGGCUUAAUUUGACUCAACGCGAGGUAACUUACCAAUAUUUUAUUAUUCUGAGAGAAUCCUGAUUCGAGAAUGAUAAUAGUGGUGCAUGGCCGUUUUCAAUGGAUGCUGUGAAGUUUUGAUUAAUUUCAACAAGACGUGAGACCCUUUUAUAUAGACAGACACAAUCAGUGUAGGAAGGAAAGGAUUAAAACAGGUCCGUUAUGCCCUCAGACAUUUUGGGCUGCACGCGCAAUACAAUAGAUAUACAGUCUUUAUGGGAUAAUAUUUUGUAAGAGAUAUUUGAACUCGGAAUUGCUAGUAAAUUUUAUUGAAUAAGUAGAAUUGAAUGUGUCCCUGUUCUUUGUACACACCGCCCGUCGCUAUCUAAGAUGAUAUAUGCUGUGAAAUUAGUGCAAACUACUUGAACAAUAUGUAUUAGAUCUGAUAUAAGUCGUAACAUGGUUGCUGUUGGAGAACCAUUAGCAGGAUCAUAAUCAGGAAGUAUAAGUUUGUUUGUAUGUCAUUACCCACACAUGGGAUCAAUAGGAUACCAUAACGAUGAAGGUCGUAGUAGAAUACGAAAGUAUACUUACCGAAUUUAUAUUCUAGUAUAGAUUACCCUUUGAACUUAAGCAUAUCAUUAGAAGGAGGAAAAGAAACUAACUAGGAUUUCUUUAGUAGCAGCGAGUGAACAAGAAUCAACCCUUGAUUGUAAUCCUUUACUGGAGAUGUAAAUCACUGUUUUAUUACUUAUUUAUAAAGAAUAUGUAUUAUUCGUCAGCAAYAAAAUAGUAAAUGUUUUUGAGUAGGGCUGCUUGGUAGUGCAGUUUGAAUACAGGUAGAAUGAGAUAUCUAAGGUUAAAUAUAAUGGUAUACCGAUAGCAAAUAAGUACUGCGAAGGAAUUUGUGAAAAUGUGUGGGAUGUAGCCUUAUUU
Molecule: ribosomal RNA, 1689 nt
Filed under: Vairimorpha bombi
Lineage: Eukaryota; Fungi; Microsporidia; Nosematidae
Description: bacterial SSU rRNA
Rfam family: Microsporidia small subunit ribosomal RNA (bases 2-1248)
Source: RNAcentral